Molecule: unclassified non-coding RNA, 341 nt
Filed under: soil metagenome
Description: partial contains 5.8S ribosomal RNA, internal transcribed spacer 2, and large subunit ribosomal RNA
Rfam family: 5.8S ribosomal RNA (bases 1-120)
Source: RNAcentral
GAUGAAGAACGCAGCGAAAUGCGAUAAGUAGUGUGAAUUGCAGAAUUCAGUGAAUCAUCGAAUCUUUGAACGCACAUUGCGCCCUUUGGUAUUCCAAAGGGCAUGCCUGUUCGAGCGUCAUUUGUACCCUCAAGCUUUGCUUGGUGUUGGGCGUCUUGUCUCUAGCUUUGCUGGAGACUCGCCUUAAAGUAAUUGGCAGCCGGCCUACUGGUUUCGGAGCGCAGCACAAGUCGCACUCUCUAUCAGCAAAGGUCUACCAUCCACUAAGCCUUUUUUUCAACUUUUGACCUCGGAUCAGGUAGGGAUACCCGCUGAACUUAAGCAUAUCAAUAAGCGGAGGA